Molecule: ribosomal RNA, 243 nt
Filed under: uncultured Actinomycetales bacterium
Lineage: Bacteria; Bacillati; Actinomycetota; Actinomycetes; Actinomycetales
Description: partial 16S ribosomal RNA
Rfam family: Bacterial small subunit ribosomal RNA
Source: RNAcentral
UACUCGAGUGGCGAACGGGUGAGUAACACGUGGGUGAUCUGCCCUGCACUUCGGGAUAAGCUUGGGAAACUGGGUCUAAUACCGGAUAGGACCGCACUUUAGUGUGUGUGGUGGAAAGUUUUUUCGGUGUAGGAUGAGCUCGCGGCCUAUCAGCUUGUUGGUGGGGUAAUGGCCUACCAAGGCGGCGACGGGUAGCCGGCCUGAGAGGUUGGUCGGCCACAUUGGGACUGAGAUACGGCCCAG